AUGGACGAAGGAAGAAAUUUAGCAACACUUUCCCUGCAGGAUCUCUUGCAAGAAGAAAAUAAUCUCCAAAUUUGACUUGUCAAUUUUGUUUCUCAUGAAAAUAGCAAGCUAACUCAAGGAAAUUAUCACACAAAUAGUCAAUUUGUUAGAACUUGCUUAGUAGUGAAUUGUGAACAAGAAGAAAAAGAAAAGGCUGGUGCUUGCCUUGUUGAGGUAAGAGCAAACGAUCUUAUUCACGAUUUCCUGAUAAUUGAGUUAGUCAAGUCCACUAUUUCGUAUACACGAAAAAGGUAUGAUAGGACAAGUGCAGGACCAAAAAGUACAAACUAUAGCGAAAAUAUGCUUGAUAAAUAA
RNAcentral lists this ribosomal RNA (354 nucleotides) under Triticum aestivum (bread wheat). RNAcentral describes it as "partial small subunit ribosomal RNA". Lineage: Eukaryota; Viridiplantae; Streptophyta; Magnoliopsida; Poales; Poaceae. The record is from RNAcentral.